CCUACGGGCGGCAGCAGUGGGGAAUUUUGCACAAUGGGCGCAAGCCUGAUCCAGCUAUUCCGCGUGUGGGAUGAAGGCCCUCGGUUUGUAAACCACUUUUGUAGAGAACGAAAAUACACCUUUUAAUAAAUGGUGUUGCUGACGGUACUCUACGAAUAAGCACCGGCUAACUACGUGCCAGCAGCCGCGGUAAUACGUAGGGUGCUAGCGUUAAUCGGAAUUACUGGGCGUAAAGGGUGCGCAGGCGGUAGAGUAAGACCGAUGUGAAAUCCCCGGGCUUAACUCGGGAAGUGCAUAUGUGACUGCUCGACUAGAGUGUGUGAGAGGGAGGUGGAAUUCCAAGUGUAGCAGUGAAAUGCGUAGAUAUGUGGAAGAACACCGAUGGCGAAGGCAGCCUACUGGGACAUAACUGACGCUGAGGCACGAAAGCGUGGGGAGCAAACAGGAUUAGAUACCCGAGUAGUC
RNAcentral lists this ribosomal RNA (465 nucleotides) under uncultured bacterium. Its description in RNAcentral is "partial 16S ribosomal RNA". It matches the Rfam family "Bacterial small subunit ribosomal RNA", at positions 338 to 795 of the family's 1533-position model. The record is from RNAcentral.